This 2555-nucleotide unclassified non-coding RNA is filed under the name Hevea brasiliensis (rubber tree). The record is from RNAcentral. Lineage: Eukaryota; Viridiplantae; Streptophyta; Magnoliopsida; Malpighiales; Euphorbiaceae.
AAGAACCCAAGUGAUUAUUUGGGUAGAUAUUAUAGAGGAACAUGCCAGCAAAGACACCAUCAUAUCAUCCAUUUCUCAUUAUAAUACAAAACCAGAAACACAAACCAUUAAUUAUUAGUCAUCACAGACUAGACUCCAAGAUGACAAAUUGAACAAAGUCUACAUUUUAGCAGAACAGUCAUUUCAUCCUACACACUCAUGCCUAUAUUUUCCAACUAGAGAAUCGCACUUAACAUCUCAUUCCAGAUAUCAGGUACCCCAGGGAGGCACCAAUGGCUACAGUCUGAAGAAAAGCCUGUUGGGUGUUGCCUUUCUUCUUGGCUUAUUACCCUUCUAUACACAGAAGGAUGCCCAUCUCUACGCAGAGCAGAUAUUGUUGUGAUAUCCUGUAAAUAUACUGGAAAACUCAUCUUUCUAAGUACUUCUUUCAAUACCACCAAUUGUUCAGGAACAUGCUGGUGACUGAAAAAUGCUAAAGGCUCCCUUUGUUUAUAGCAUUUCCAACCAUUUUCCCUGCAAAGAUAAUUUGGCGAUUAAAGGCUCCCACUGUGCUUAAGAUCAUAAUGGCAUUGUUGUUGGAACUGUUAUGCCUAGGAGACAUGCUUCGAAAAAUGACUUUGGUUGUGCGAGGAUCAAUAUUUAAGUCAAUCCAUUUUGCCCAUGUAGUGAGUCCCUUCUCAUAAGCAAUCAUUGGAUUCAUACUUUUGAUGAGAGACUGUCCCUCCAUGUAGUAAUCCCACGAACUCCAUUGAUCAGAAUGAGUCCACCAGUGAGCUGAAUCAAACACAAGGAUAUCAACAUUCCUCCAAUAUCUUGCAUUCUCUUCAAUCAUAUCCAAAUGCAGGAUUCUCUUGUUACCAGGCCCUUUCUUCAAUUCUACAAGUAGUGGAGCCCAAGUGAACUCAAUUGUUGUCUCAAAAUCCAAAGCAUGGAAUGCCAUUGAAGGACCAUUAUAGCUAACCAUCUUAUGCCCAUUUGGAAUCACUCCUUGUACUAAGCAAACAAGAGAUUCCCAUUGGUUCCUCAUAAUAGAAUCACCUACUAACAUUAUUCUUUUCCUUCUCAUUCUUCCAAGAAAUUUCAACGCAUCAAACCUUGGAAUAGAGCAGCCAUGGGGCUUCCAUCUCCACUUCUCAUAGUCAGAGUCAGGCCUUCCAUUUUUUUGGCAAGUGACAGCUGUACUAAGAUAAGGGCAAGUAGAAUCAUAGAGAGGAUAUGACUGAUCAUAAACCCAUUUCCCAUAAGUGAAGUCACAGCUACUUGAAGAAUCAUGCCUGGUUUGAGCCAUGUCUACUUCACUAUCCUCCUCAUUGAUCCAGGACAACCCAUCAUCCUCUUGAUCUAAGCCAAGCUGAAAAGAUUUGCCAUUGGAGAAACAUAGAAAAACAGUGAAGAACAAGACCAAGAACUGAUGAUGAAGCUUAGGUUUAGCCAUUGAAGAAGCUAAAGUGGAAGCUCAGAAUGAAGGGUCUCAAGUGGAGAAGUGUUGAAGAAGAAGAAGGUCCCCCUAAUCAUUCACGCUCAAUCGAUUGCCCAAAUAGCUAGGGUUUUUCCCUCCUAGGGUUUUCGCUUUCACCCAAAUUCGUGAACCGUCGUUUUUCCGAUCACCAGUCAACCAUGACAGGAAAGGCGAAGCCAAAGAAGCAUACGGCAAAGGAGAUCGCGUCAAAGGUCGACGCGGCGACGACGAACCGGGGCGGAGGGAAGGCGGGGCAAAAGGACAGGACUGGCCAAGACAAAGGAGGUCACGCUAAGUUUGAGUGUCCUCACUGCAAAACCACUGCGCCGGAUGUGAAAUCUAUGCAGAUCCAUCACGAUGCUCGCCACCCGAAGACCCCUUUCGAGGAAGAUAAGCUCGUGAAUUUACAUGCUAAUCAUGUCGCCGAUUCCUCUACGUCGCGUCCUGGUGUUAGGGGUAGCUUCAAAAAGUGAAGGGUGAGGACGAAGGUUAUAAAGAUUACAACUUCCCAUGUUUUCUGGUUUCUUUUUUUUCUGGGUACUAUUGUGUUUGUGUUUUUGUCUUGCUUUGUGUUGUUGGGAAGCUAUGAUGAUAUUAAUUCUCAAGGAAGUUUCUAGCUUCUGCUCUGAUCGUGGAAUGUAUAUUACAUAUAUUAUUAUGAUAUUUAUGAAGCGCUUAUUCCCUAUGGUUAAUUUUGUUGAAAUUAAUGGUUGUUGCAAUUGAAGUAUUUUGUUUGUAAUUUGGUUGUGUAUGCCUAUAAUUAUUCUGUGUGGUAGGCAAAGUGGAUUAUGGUUUGAUCUUCAAUAUUGAUUUUCUGCGUGGAGUUAGAAUAUGCUUACUCUACUAUGGAUCUUACCCAUGCGAACUAAUAGGUUUUGGGAUGAAGUGACGAUCUGCAUUAAUCUUCUGGCUGGUAGACGAGGAGUGAGUACUUGGCAGAGCAGAUUUUUACAGGCUGAACUGAUAUGAAAAGAUCAAAUUUUUAUUUAUAGCCAUCGAGUGUUUAAGUGGCCAAAGAAACCUAAUUGGGUAAUUUGUAUAAUACCAAAUUUCCGAUUCAAUUAAGAGAUUAUUUUAAGCAAAUUGAGUAUGCAAU